AAAACUACCGAUAUCAGCCUCUGUUUUCACUGCUGGUGGCGCCAUCAUUGACUCUGGAACUGUCAUCACCCGACUACCACCGACGGCAUAUACAGCACUGAGCUCUGAAUUUAGGAAACUGAUGAGCCGAUAUCCAAAGGCACAACCACUUUCAAUCCUGGAUACAUGCUAUGACUUUACCAAGUUUUCUUCGGUUAGUGUACCUAAGAUAAGUAUCUUCUUCAGUGGGGGUGUUGAGGUUCCGAUUGCCACAAAGGGAAUUUUG
RNAcentral lists this long non-coding RNA (265 nucleotides) under Gossypium barbadense (sea-island cotton). Its description in RNAcentral is "long non-coding RNA (GBAR_LNC015959)". Lineage: Eukaryota; Viridiplantae; Streptophyta; Magnoliopsida; Malvales; Malvaceae. The record is from RNAcentral.